This 569-nucleotide long non-coding RNA is filed under the name Anser cygnoides (Swan goose). RNAcentral's name for it is "lncRNA (ENSACDG00005013199.1)". Lineage: Eukaryota; Metazoa; Chordata; Aves; Anseriformes; Anatidae. The record is from RNAcentral.
AUCCAUCAGUUUGCCCUGCCUUUAACCAGAAGAUAGUUGAAGGAACGUGAUGGAAUCAAGUAAAUCCAAGCUGGAAAUCUCCAGUGAGAGGAGACAGUAGGAAAACUAAGAGGAACAGAGAAAGAAGUGCUGACUGUCAAACCCUUCGGUGGGUUUCUCUUCUUUGUGUCCAGAAAUCUGGAAGGCAGGGGAAGCAGAGCCGGUACGCUGCGCUCAGAGCGAGCCUCCUCUUGAUGGGCUGUUGAAAUAUGAAGUCCAUAAAUCACUGGAUAAUGUCACAUCCACUGCGGUGUCUGUCCUGUUCAGCCUCAGCGAUCGCCCUGCCCGGCACGGAGGGAGCGCAGGGCCCGGUGCCACUUGUGGAAGGGCAGCCCCUCCGCCUGGCACCCGGCACUGCUGCAGGAUGUGGGGCACGACGGGCAAGCAGCAGCCCAGCCCCAUGCGGGUGCGCCUCAGGACGGGGCCCGGUGCUGCGCUGUGCUUGCCGUGGUGAAACACGUGUGGGCUUCACAGCCUCCUCUCAGGAGAGGAGGCGACUAUUGAUCCGCGUGUCUCUCUUUUGUCAUUAA